This 66-nucleotide transfer RNA is filed under the name Cyrtopodion sp. TG-2012. Its description in RNAcentral is "tRNA-Ala". Lineage: Eukaryota; Metazoa; Chordata; Lepidosauria; Squamata; Gekkonidae. The record is from RNAcentral.
GAGGCCUUAGCUUAUUUAAAGUGUCUGAGUUGCAUUCAGGAGAUGUANUANUAAAUUACAGGUCUU